GACGAACGCUGGCGGCGUGCUUAACACAUGCAAGUCGAACGGUAAGGCCCUUCUUUUGUUGCGUGCUCGAGUAGCGAGCGGGUGAGUCGCACGUGACUAACCUACCCUUGUCUUUUGACUAACGUCAACUGACUGUGGUUCAUACCAGAUACUCGCUCCUCCUGCAUGGUGGUGGUUGGCUCGUGCGGUCGUGGGUGGAUUCGCGCCCUAUCUGCUUGUUGGUGGGGUAGUGGGCUACCUAGGCGGCGGUGGGUAGGCGGCCUGGGGGGGUGAGCGGCCACAUUGGGACUGAGAUACGGCCCAGACUCCGGCGGGAGGCAGGAGUGGGGAAUAUUGCACGAUGGGCGCAAGCCUGAUGCAGCAACGCCGCGUGCGGGAUGACGGCCUUCGGGUUGGAAACCGCUUUAAGCAGGGACGAAGCUUUUUGUGACGGGACCUGCAGAAGAAGCACCGGCUAACUACGUG
This 465-nucleotide ribosomal RNA is filed under the name uncultured bacterium. RNAcentral describes it as "partial 16S ribosomal RNA". It matches the Rfam family "Bacterial small subunit ribosomal RNA", at positions 28 to 507 of the family's 1533-position model. The record is from RNAcentral.